This 71-nucleotide transfer RNA is filed under the name Ovis aries (sheep). It matches the Rfam family "tRNA". From Rfam's summary of the family: Transfer RNA (tRNA) molecules are approximately 80 nucleotides in length. Their secondary structure includes four short double-helical elements and three loops (D, anti-codon, and T loops). The record is from Rfam by way of RNAcentral. Lineage: Eukaryota; Metazoa; Chordata; Mammalia; Artiodactyla; Bovidae.
UCCUGGGGGCUCAGACGGUAAAGUGUCUGCCUGCAACGCGGGAGACCUGGGUUCGAUUCCUAGGUCAGGAA